Molecule: ribosomal RNA, 253 nt
Filed under: uncultured bacterium
Lineage: Bacteria
Description: partial 16S ribosomal RNA
Rfam family: Bacterial small subunit ribosomal RNA
Source: RNAcentral
UACGGAGGGUGCAAGCGUUAUCCGGAUUUAUUGGGUUUAAAGGGUGCGUAGGUGGGUUAAUAAGUCAGUGGUGAAAUACGGUUGCUCAACAAUCGAGGUGCCAUUGAUACUGUUAAUCUUGAAACAAGUGGAGGUUGCCGGAAUGGAUGGUGUAGCGGUGAAAUGCAUAGAUAUCAUCCAGAACACCGAUUGCGAAGGCAGGUGACUACGUUUGAUUUGACACUGAGGCACGAAAGCAUGGGGAGCAAACAGG